AAAGAGAGGCGGGGCUCACGAGUGAAGCAGGGCAGAAGGGCGCGGCGCAAGAACUACUGAGAGCACCACGCGGAGGUUGGCGAUGGAGCUGAAAGUACCAGCCCUCUGAUCAUCUGGUUGGUUUCUCUGGAAACUGGCCCCCAUCUUCCAGGAAUCACCUCAUUAGUAUAAACUCAGCACAAUCAUGGCUCACUGAAACUUCUGCCUCCAGGCUCAAGCGAUCCUCCCAUCUCAACCUCCCAAGCAGCUAGGACCACAGAAAGAAGAAGUAAAAACUAAAAGGCACAAAUGGAAUCCACAGGCAGAUAGCCCAGCUCUGCGCCCUGGGCCUGGUAGUUAAACAUCAGCUCCUGACCUAACUGCUUGUGUUAUCUAUAGAUCUCAGACAUUGUAUGGAAAAGCAUUGUGAAAAUCCCUGUCCUGUUCUAUUCUGUUCUGAUUACCGGUGCAUGCAGCCCCCAGUCACAUACCCCCUUCUGGCUCAGUCGAUCACAACCCUCUCACACAGACCCCCUUAGAGCUGUAAGCCCUUGAAAAGGAUAGGAAUUGCUACUCGGGGAGCUCGGUUUUUGGAGACGUGAGUCCACCGAUGCUCCCAGCUGAAAAAAGCCCUUUCCUUCUACAACUCGGUGUCUGAGGGGUUCUUGUCUGUGGCUUGUCCUGCUACAAUGAUAGCUAUGUUAAGGCUUAACUGACAUACAAUAAACUGAACAUAUUUAAAAUGUACAAGUUUUGACACGUGUAUACACCUGGGAAAUUAUCACCACAAUUCAGGUCUGAUUUACAUGUUAGGCACAGUUCAUAGGGCCUAUUUUUUUUUUUUGAGACAGAUUCUCUCUGUUGCCCAGUCUGGAUCUGCUCACUACAACCUUCGCCUCUCAGGCUCAAGCAGGUCUCAAGCCUCAGCCUCUGGAGUAGCUGGGAUUACAGGUGCACA
This is a long non-coding RNA of Symphalangus syndactylus (siamang), 937 nucleotides long. RefSeq lists it as uncharacterized. The record is from RefSeq and is a predicted model, not a curated record. Lineage: Eukaryota; Metazoa; Chordata; Mammalia; Primates; Hylobatidae.